Molecule: long non-coding RNA, 1132 nt
Organism: Gasterosteus aculeatus aculeatus (three-spined stickleback)
Lineage: Eukaryota; Metazoa; Chordata; Actinopteri; Perciformes; Gasterosteidae
Source: Ensembl
CUUGGACAUCUGGUGCUGCGUACAACCCGAGCGAAGGGACCGCCCGGUUUAACCAUCACAGCGCACGGGUGUCUCUCUAGUCUCUAUGCAAUUGACUCAUUAGCUCACUGCCGACUCUGAUGAUGCAUUAUUCAUGUGGUGGACGGGUGGGGCAGUCAGAGUGUGUGUCACACAGCGUGGUUACAUGGAUUCGAAUAACUGGCUUAGUCGGACUGAAAUUGAAUUAUCCGUUUCAUGUAAACACCUUUGUCCGACUAUGUGCGGUCCGACUACGAUCUGAUUAACACCCCUGGAUAACUCGAUCCGAUCCAGUUGAUAGUUCGACUAUUGCGGCAUGUAACAGUGAAUCGGAUAAGGAACUGGACUUUGCGUCUUUGCGCAUGCUUGAGAUCCCGCCGCCCUCCUCCCUCCCAGGUCGUGACCCGGAAGUCGAAAGAGACUCCUGGGAGCCUGGCCGGCAGAAAACAAACAAACAACGCUAUGGACAACACAAGAGUCCCUAGUAGAGCACAACGGCGUAGAUUUGGGUGCUCAGUUGCCAACUACCAUGGAUACUACAAUGGACCCGGAAGAGACGCUGCUCGGAGGCUGAUCUGGAACCUCCUCACCUAAGUCAACUCCACCACCUUCUACUCCACUGCGUGCUACCUCCUCAGUUAGGUCGACUCUAGCUUGCACUCCACCACCUUCCACUACUCCACUGCGUGCUACAAUUACAGAUGAUCUACCUGGAACAAGGACCCAGCAAACAAGGCGAAUGAGAGACGUCGAUGUGUUGGUAAACCAGAUGCAAGUCAUGACUCAACAAUGGAAGGAGGACAUGGCAAGAAGUGAGGCCCGGGAGGAACGGUUGAUCGCCAGCAUCCUCCGCACUGACAGUAUGAUUGAGAAGCUGAUGCAGAAAAUGGAUAACAUUCAAUCUCAACCAAACACAUUCUCACCACCACACCACCACCACCACAACAUCAACCACCGCAAUAUGCGUAUUAUGGUUAUGGAUGCCUUACUUAUUUGCACUACCGCCUGAAAAGCACCUUACCGUUCAUAUAGCACAAUUUCUACACUCUACCUCAGUGUGUGUGUGUGUGUGUGUGUGUGUGUGUGUGUGUGUGUGUGUAUAUAUAUAUAUAUA